UUGAAUUGGAAACUAACUUCAGCAUCAUAACUUUGGGGGGGGGGAUCUGUUUAGGCAAAAUGAAUUUCAGGCCUUUGACACUGACUUAUAAUCAUUGAAUGUUUUGUUUUUUUUCCUGGAAAAUCCCAACCAGAGAAAUAGAUCCAGUGAUCGGAGUGACGGUGGAUUAGAGUCUACACACAGCGGUUCCAGUUAAAAAGCUACGGAUGAGACAUAUGGGCUUGAUCCAGAGCAGAGGCAAAUGGAUCAAACACGUCCAGCUCGUCGCCUGCAGAAACUUAAAGCCCAUCACAAUAAAUGUGAGGCUCCUCACAAGAAGCUCGUCACAAAGUUGCCUUUGCUUUGUUGCACAAAGGCAACAAAUGAAGUGAGGGAGAACAUGUCUUUUCUUCAUCAGAAGGGUUUAAUGGUUAGUUUUGCUUCACUGUUUUCUUGAUGUACCCAGAGAUGAGAACUGUUAGUAAAUGUACCAUUGUAUGUGUGGCUUGAGCUGUUUUGACACAGUAUUGUAAAAAUAUCAAGAAAAUCUUCUUGCAAAUUUCUUAAUACUUACUAUACUGCUCAAAAAAAUAAAGGGAACACUUAAACAGGUGUUUAACACUUAAAGUGUUCCCUUUAUUUUUUUGAGCAGUGUAUAAUUAUAUAAUCAACACAAAUUUAUAGCUAUCUUUAAUGCUGGAUAAAAAAAAUCGUGUCAACUUUUAAAAGUUUUGUGAAACAAAACAAAAAUACUGUCAGUUAUUACAAGAUUUCAAGUGUCCAACGUCACGAUGCAGACACUGCUUAUCAGAGAAGAAAUAUAUAUGGUGGUGGCUGCUUUGCAAAAUCAUGAACCUGAAACUUUAGACUGUGCACAGGAGCUUUCUUUGAGGGGGAUUCACCUUGUCAGUCAAUUCAAAUUUAUUUAGUGUCUAUUACAAUACAACUUGUCACUAGAUGCUUCCCGGAGACCCAGACAUGGACUAAUCAGGACUUAACCCAAAAUACUCUGAAGCAUUUAUUAUCUUCCAGUCUAUGAAAUUCCAAUGGCCUGUCAAGUUGAAGUAUAAAAUCAGUGUGCAUAGUUUCAGUGUCAUUUAGUCUAAAUUUAGUAGGUUAGAUUAGGUGGUAAUGGAUACCAAAACCCAAAAGUGUCAUGAAACAGUGUGGUGUUGAGGUGGUGAGGCAGACGCUGUAGACCCAGGAUGUGAUAAGUAAAUGGUUUUAAUGAUGAAUGUAGGGCUGAAACGAUUCAUCGAGUAACUCGAGUAACUCGAUUACAAAAAAUCCUCGAGGAAAUUUAUCUGCCUCGAAGCUUCGCUAAAUUUAUUGUAUAGUAAUAAGCAAUGCUGUUAAAUACGCAGCACACUGGUCUAGCCGGAGGGUUUUUGUGUUGCACAACGCUACCACUUCCGUUAGCGCCUGGAGCACAUGUGCUAAGUUUGUAGCUAUGGAGGGAACCGGAGAAUGCUCAGAAGGAGAACCCCGAAAGCGACAAAAAAUGUCAAAAGUUUGGGAACAUUUUAGGCUAAACAGAAAGGACAACACAGCGCAAUGCAUCCACUGCAAAGCAGAAUUGGCGUACCACAACAGCACGACAUCAAUGUUGCAGCAUCUGAAGAGAAAACACCCGCUACAUGCAUCCAACUCAUACACAGUUGCCAACAGCCCUAGAUGAAUGUCCAGAAAACAGUCCAACCAAUGGACAGCACGGCCGAGCGGAAGCCAGGGCUCGACACCGGUAGCAACCGUUACACAAAGGACAACACGAAGGACUGAGCGCACAUUCGACAAGGACCCGACAGAGACGCAGAGACACAGGAGUCAAAACAGUCAUCUGACGACAGCGAUGAUACAAUAAUCCUCGAUCCAACACCAACUGAAGGGGACAUGAGCGUGCCUGAGCUCACAAGAACUGACAGUGUGAUUCUGUAGCAGAGACAACAGCCUGAUCCUGAACGUUGAC
This is a long non-coding RNA of Xiphophorus maculatus (southern platyfish), 1945 nucleotides long. RefSeq lists it as uncharacterized. Lineage: Eukaryota; Metazoa; Chordata; Actinopteri; Cyprinodontiformes; Poeciliidae. The transcript is spliced from 6 exons. The record is from RefSeq and is a predicted model, not a curated record.